CAGCCUGAUGCAAAUGAAUCCUUUGAACUUGAAAGCCCCAUCUUGAAGAUGGAAAGGCCCCCGCAUGGACAAAGUCCCUGAAUCACUGCCUAGAGGAGACUUAAGGUAACCACACUGACUUCUUUCAGUAAAUCAGGGGCGAGAGAGCCAUCGGCAUGGGAGGCAGUUACAAAGGACUCCGCAGAGACAUUCAGUGGCCCUCUGGCCACUCUGUGUUACCAAUAUGCUGAAACCAAUACCCCACGGGUUGUGAAAUACCCAUUCACCACCUAUAAAAGCAAGACAUUUUCAAGUGCUGCUUUUCUUUAAAUAUACUCUCCUUCCCUUUAAGUGUUACAUAACACAACUAUCAUCCCAUGUGAGGCUUAAUUUAAAGGAAACCAUAAGUUGAGUUAAUUCACUGUGAAGGGUUAUGGAAGUUAUAUUUAUUCCAGAAAGUCAGCAGCUGUGUAAUGGGGUGUCUAUAAUAUGCCUGACCUACUGCCAGAUUCUGGGAACACAAAUAUGAAUAGGAUCCAGUCUCUGUCCUUAAAAAGUUCUAUGGCCUCCUCAGAGAGAGAUGUGCUCAAAAAGUAAGUGAAAGCAGCGUUACAAGUAUUAAGGAAGAAGGAAGUACAUGAGGCGUUUAGUCAUCAGCUCUAAUGAGGAGGGAGUUAUCUGUAGGGAGGGGCAGAGGACAGAGGUUGCUGCUUGAUAAAAGAGACCCUGUCUGCCCAUCAAAUAAACCCUAGAAGCUGCUAUCAAGGAGACAGGCUGAGACCAAGAAGACCCUAGAAGCUGCUGUCUACCAAGGAGACAGGUGGUCUGGUCAGAGAAAGCAGGAAAAAUAGGGGCAGCCAUACACAGUGGCAUGAGACAAUCAAGGUUAGGGUCACUGGAGACACCUGGACUUGGCUGAGAAAUGGACUCCAAGGGAGAGAAAUGAGAGGCAGGCCGGGGGUCGGGAUAGUGCCUUUGCUGCCCAGUGGGUCAUGUGAAGGACGCAGACUCUAGACUGAAACAACAGAGUAAGCAUGAUCCGAUUUGCACUUUUGAAGAUCACCGUGGCAACCAUGUGGAGGACGAGCUGGAGGUGUAGAGGCUGGCAGCGGAGAGAACAGUCAGGAGGCGAGAGCAGCCGUCCAGGUGGGAGGGAUAGGGCCUGAUCUCAGGCAGCAGCAGUGGGGAUGUAAAGAAAGAGAAAGAGGGCAACUGUUAGGAAUGUAGAACUCUGGGCUGGAAAUAAUGAAAUCUGGAUUCUGGUACAGUCUCUCUAGGGGACCUCAGAAAGUCAUUCCUUUUCAGGACCCUGUCUCCCAACUUGUCAGGUAAGAGGGAGAUGUUUUGUGGCUGUAGGAAAAUGCACCUUAUUCAUGUGUUUGGUUAUUAUUUAGUCAUUGGGUAAGUCAGUCAGGGAAAGCACUCAUUCCUUGAUUCAAAUUUGGGGGUCUUUCUAUGAAAAAGCAAAAUGGUAGUACAAUCAACUAAACGAACGGGAAGAGGAGACUUGAAGUCCAUGAACAUUUGAUGAUCAAGAAUUAGGUGCAAAAAUGUGCAUCACCACGUGCUAUAGAUAAAAUGGAAAUGACAAAGACAUGGUUUCUGCUCUUUGGGAGGGAAAUGAAGCAGCUUGUGAUUAAUUCAACAAAUUCUGACUGAAUGCCAUGCACAUCUAUCACAAUAAGGAAACAGAGGAUUAAGACAUAGUUCCUGACACGAAAGAGCUCAAAGCCACAAGUGGAAGAAGUGAUACUGCUAUUAUUCGACAGCUGCAAAACAUCUGGGAGCCCAGAGAUAAGAGAAGCUGUUCUAAAUCCACCUUUGACCUGUGUCACAGAAAAGAGAAGUACGAAUGCCCCUUUCCAUGAUCCAGAACUGCUAAGAGCUCCCUUCAUGAAAUCAGAUAAGUCAUUCACUUUAAAUGAAUAAGACCUUUCCACAGGUGAGGCCAUGUAUUAUGUGUCCAUAUAAGAGCAACAAGACAUGCUCUUUGCCCUCAAAGAAACCAGGCUGGUGUACAGAACAUUUUGUACUGUAGGAGGAGGAAGCAGAGAAGGUUGAUUUCUACUCUCUACCAUGCGAUCCAAAGUGCCUUGAACAGUGUCGAGCAUACAGUAGGUGCUCAGUAAAGACUCAACUAAAGUGAACUAUCAAAUUUUUACUUAAAGAAAAAGUGUUUGUUACUUAAAGAAAAUGAGGUUGACUCUAAAAUAACAACGCAUACUUGACAUUUAAUUAUUUAGAGAAUCACUUAGGAAAAAAAUACUUUUAUGUAAGAAGUCAUGAGUAAUUAAUCAAACCACAGGCAACGUACUAUAAUACUAAUUCAAAGAGGUCUACAUUCCCAGAGUCUUGAGAAGCAGAUGGCACCUAAUUUGCUUUAAGAGGCUUUGAUUGACCACACUUGGUGCUUUCCUCCAGGGUGAGUUCAGUUUUGGGAGGUCUCAUUGUAAGACAUUAACGCCCAACCCCUUAAAUAAAGCUUCUAAACAUCUAAUCUGUAAAAACCAUACCUGGGAAUGAAAUGGAGUGUGUUUAGAAAGAAACGGAGUGUGUCAGGGGUAGGGAAGGAGAGUUCCACCAGCAGCCUGGCUGAGAGAAGCUGGUGACUUGACAAAUGAGAAAACAUAUGUAAAAAGCUUUGAAAAAAAUUAAAGGUGUUAACAAUGCAGGUAGGAUUAAAAAAGAACAUGCACCACACUACUGGUUCUGUUUGUUUGUUUGUUUGUUUUCCUAAACAGACCCAGAAUACUGAGAUCCAGCUGGUAAGAAUCACAACAUGUAAUUUAAAUCUUUGACCAGUAAGAAAUGAUUCUAAAGACUCCCAAUAGAGUUGGCUCAUGGACUCUGCACCCUUUUAUAAGUGCAAAGAUGGCCACCCUGCUGCCUACCAUUGGGGAGACAAAGCUAUGGUGGACACAGCAAUUUCACCUAAGGGUUUUUGCUCACUUCUGGCUUGGGUUGACAUCUGCCUUCUGUCCCCUACUAAGCUAGCUGUUAAGACCUUGGACAAGUCGCUUAACUUCACUAAAGCCUCAAUUCCCAUCUGUAAAUGACAACAAUAAUGCUUAUCUCAUAAGGUUGUUAAUGGGUAGUACAUGAGAUAUUAGACGUAAAAAGCUUUGUACAGUGCCUGGUAUAUAAUAAAUAUGGUAACUUUUAUUAGUUAUUACAGUUUCAUAGUUAACCAUUAGUGUUAUAAUUAGUAUUACUGAAAGGGAAAUUUUCUUUCCAAAAUUGGUUAAAAAACUUGUUUCAAGCAUUUCUAAGACUGAAAUAAAAUAUAUGGGUGAUGGA
This 3276-nucleotide long non-coding RNA is filed under the name Sus scrofa (pig). RNAcentral's name for it is "lncRNA (ENSSSCG00035065444.1)". The record is from RNAcentral. Lineage: Eukaryota; Metazoa; Chordata; Mammalia; Artiodactyla; Suidae.